Carassius auratus (goldfish) is the source of this 463-nucleotide long non-coding RNA. RefSeq lists it as uncharacterized. NCBI's taxonomy places the organism in Eukaryota, Metazoa, Chordata, Actinopteri, Cypriniformes, Cyprinidae. The transcript has 4 exons. The record is from RefSeq and is a predicted model, not a curated record.
GAUUUUGAGACCAUAGCAGUCCUGUGCAACACUGGAUAUGAGUGUGCAAUAUACCAUCUAAAGGAACCGGCGAGUCAGAAUGUCUGAGAAGAUCAAGUGUGCUUCACCACUGAUGAUGAUGAGCUGGAUACCAGCUUAUGGGCUAAUUUCUUUCAUUCAUUGCCAGAGGACGGGACCAGAUGUGUUUGGAGUUGAAGACAAUGCUGAAGACCAAAGAAGCAACGGAAGAAGAACAUUUAAGCACUGAGGGUGUCCAGCCUGUUUGCCAUGACAGAUCCAGCGGCUAGAUGGCGGAAGAUGCUUCAAUACCCAAUUGCACUGAAUCAUUAGAUGAUCAAUUAAUUAAUAUUAAUAUAUAUUUUUAAAUUAUCUUAUUAUAUUAAAUAAUUGGUCUCAGUUUACUAUUUCAUAUAUUAGUUUGAAUAAUAAUGUUUUUAUAAUGUGUACGCCAUGCCUGAGGAGG